GAUGAACGCUGGCGGCGUGCCUAAUACAUGCAAGUCGAGCGAACGGACGAGAAGCUUGCUUCUCUGAUGUUAGCGGCGGACGGGUGAUUAACACGUGGAUAACCUACCUAUAAGACUGGGAUAACUUCGGGAAACCGUAGCUAAUACCGGAUAAUAUUUUGAACCGCAUGGUUCAAAAGUGAAAGACGGUCUUGCUGACACUUAUAGAUGGAUCCGCGCUGCAUUAGCUAGUUGGUAAGGUAACGGCUUACCAAGGCAACGAUGCAUAGCCGACCUGAGAGGGUGAUCGGCCACACUGGAACUGAGACACGGUCCAGACUCCUACGGGGGGCAGCAGUAGGGAAUCUUCCGCGAUGGGCGAAAGCCUGACGGAGCAACGCCGCGUGAGUGAUGAAGGUCUUCGGAUCGUAAAACUCUGUUAUUAGGGAAGAACAUAUGUGUAAGUAACUGUGCACAUCUUGACGGUACCUAAUCAGAAAGCCACGGCUAACUACGUG
This 497-nucleotide ribosomal RNA is filed under the name uncultured bacterium. RNAcentral's name for it is "partial 16S ribosomal RNA". It matches the Rfam family "Bacterial small subunit ribosomal RNA", at positions 28 to 507 of the family's 1533-position model. The record is from RNAcentral.